Molecule: long non-coding RNA, 101 nt
Organism: Priapulus caudatus
Lineage: Eukaryota; Metazoa; Priapulida; Priapulimorpha; Priapulimorphida; Priapulidae
Exons: 4
Source: RefSeq, a predicted model, not a curated record
GGGAAAAAGAUCACGCUAGCAGCCUUGCAGCACGAUCGCGGAUGUCAUAUGUCAGCGCCCAAAAAUUAAGAUUUUGAAAUUCAAUGUUGUUUUAUGACAAA